This 492-nucleotide ribosomal RNA is filed under the name uncultured bacterium. Its description in RNAcentral is "partial 16S ribosomal RNA". It matches the Rfam family "Bacterial small subunit ribosomal RNA", at positions 29 to 507 of the family's 1533-position model. The record is from RNAcentral.
AGUGAACGCUGGCGGUAGGCCUAACACAUGCAAGUCGAACGGCAGCACAGUAAGAGCUUGCUCUUACGGGUGGCGAGUGGCGGACGGGUGAGGAAUACAUCGGAAUCUACUUUUUCGUGGGGGAUAACGUAGGGAAACUUACGCUAAUACCGCAUACGACCUACGGGUGAAAGCAGGGGAUCUUCGGACCUUGCGCGAUUGAAUGAGCCGAUGUCGGAUUAGGUAGUUGGCGGGGUAAAGGCCCACCAAGGCGACGAUCCGUAGCUGGACUGAGAAGAUGAUCAGCCAAACUGGAACCGAGACACGGGCCCAAAUCCUACGGGAGGGAGCAGUGGGGAAAAUUGGACAAAGGGCGGAAACCUGGACCAGCCAUCCCGCGUGGGUGGAGGAGGCCUUCGGGUUGUAAAGCCCUUUUGUUGGGAAAGAAAAGCAGCAGGUUAAUACCCCGCUGGUCUGACGGUACCCUAAGAAUAAGCACCGGCUAACUUCGUG